UGGUUCUAGCAUNGAUGAAGAACGCAGCGAAAUGCGAUAAGUAAUGUGAAUUGCAGAAUUUAGUGAAUCAUCGAAUCUUUGAACGCACAUUGCGCCCCUUGGUAUUCCGAGGGGCAUGCCUGUUCGAGCGUCAUUAAAACCCUCAAGUUCUACUUGGUAUUGGGAUGUGUCUCUCUAAGACACUCCUAAAACUGGUUGGCAGUAGCUUCUAGCUCCCAGCGUAGUUAACAUAUUCGCUUUGGAGGUCUAGGAACUACAUGCCAUAUAACCUCUAUUUUUCUAUAUUUGACCUCGGAUCAGGUAGGGAUACCCGCUGA
Molecule: unclassified non-coding RNA, 317 nt
Filed under: uncultured fungus
Lineage: Eukaryota; Fungi
Description: partial contains 5.8S ribosomal RNA and internal transcribed spacer 2
Rfam family: 5.8S ribosomal RNA (bases 1-133)
Source: RNAcentral